UGGGGGAAUAUUGGGCAAUGGGCGAAAGCCUGACCCAGCGACGCCGCGUGAGGGAAGAAGGUCUUCGGAUUGUAAACCUCUGUUGACAGGGAAGAAGAAAGUGACGGUACCUGUCGAGGAAGUCACGGCUAACUACGUGCCAGCAGCCGCGGUAAUACGUAGGUGGCAAGCGUUAUCCGGAUUUACUGGGUGUAAAGGGUGUGUAGGCGGGACGACAAGUCAGAUGUGAAACUCAUGGGCUCAACCCAUGACCUGCAUUUGAAACUGCCGUUCUUGAGAGUCGGAGAGGUAAAUGGAAUUCCCGGUGCAGCGGUGAAAUGCGUAGAUAUUAGGAGGAACACCAGUGGGCGAAGGCGGUCAACUGGACGAUAACUGACGCUGAGGCGCG
RNAcentral lists this ribosomal RNA (388 nucleotides) under uncultured Oscillospiraceae bacterium. Its description in RNAcentral is "bacterial SSU rRNA". It matches the Rfam family "Bacterial small subunit ribosomal RNA", at positions 354 to 755 of the family's 1533-position model. The record is from RNAcentral. Lineage: Bacteria; Bacillati; Bacillota; Clostridia; Eubacteriales; Oscillospiraceae.